RNAcentral lists this ribosomal RNA (448 nucleotides) under uncultured bacterium. RNAcentral's name for it is "bacterial SSU rRNA". It matches the Rfam family "Bacterial small subunit ribosomal RNA", at positions 328 to 792 of the family's 1533-position model. The record is from RNAcentral.
CGCCCAGACUCCUACGGGAGGCAGCAGUGGGGGAUAUUGCACAAUGGGGGAAACCCUGAUGCAGCGACGCCGCGUGUAGGAAGACGGUCCUCUGGAUUGUAAACUACUGUCCCCAGGGACGAAGAUGACGGUACCUGGGGAGGAAGCUCCGGCUAACUACGUGCCAGCAGCCGCGGUAAUACGUAGGUGGCAAGCGUUAUCCGGAAUUAUUGGGCGUAAAGAGCGCGCAGGUGGUUAAUUAAGUCUGAUGUGAAAGCCCACGGCUUAACCGUGGAGGGUCAUUGGAAACUGGUUGACUUGAGUGCAGAAGAGGGAAGUGGAAUUCCAUGUGUAGCGGUGAAAUGCGUAGAGAUAUGGAGGAACACCAGUGGCGAAGGCGGCUUCCUGGUCUGCAACUGACACUGAGGCGCGAAAGCGUGGGGAGCAAACAGGAUUAGAUACCCGUGUA